CGAAGGGGGCUAGCGUUGUUCGGAAUUACUGGGCGUAAAGCGCGCGUAGGCGGCGAUCUUUGUCAGAGGUGAAAUCCCGAGGCUCAACUUCGGAAUUGCCUUUGAAACGGGAUUGCUUGAGUCCGAGAGAGGAUGGCGGAAUUCCUAGUGUAGAGGUGAAAUUCGUAGAUAUUAGGAAGAACACCGGUGGCGAAGGCGGCCAUCUGGCUCGGUACUGACGCUCAGGCGCGAAAGCGUGGGGAUCAAACAGGAUUAGAUACCCUGGUAGUCCACGCUGUAAACGAUGAGUGCUAGUUGUUGGGAAGUUUACUUCUCAGUGACGCAGCUAACGCGUUAAGCACUCCGCCUGGGGAGUACGGCCGCAAGGUUA
RNAcentral lists this ribosomal RNA (370 nucleotides) under uncultured organism. RNAcentral's name for it is "bacterial SSU rRNA". It matches the Rfam family "Bacterial small subunit ribosomal RNA", at positions 526 to 896 of the family's 1533-position model. The record is from RNAcentral.